RNAcentral lists this long non-coding RNA (408 nucleotides) under Gossypium barbadense (sea-island cotton). RNAcentral's name for it is "long non-coding RNA (GBAR_LNC022757)". The record is from RNAcentral. Lineage: Eukaryota; Viridiplantae; Streptophyta; Magnoliopsida; Malvales; Malvaceae.
AGAUACCCGAGUAUCCUUAUUAUUCCAAGGUGGUUCAACGGGCUAGUAAACGAAUCAGGUACAUGAAAGUUCAGUUAAAAGCGUAAAUGGCAAGCUCAGGUAAGUUAUAAGAGUUAAGAACUUAUUAUAUUAUCAAAUGAUACUCAACGUUUCAGCAAUGGAAGAGUAAGAUAUGAUCACGAGUUAACUAAGUAAACAAGCAAGAGAAUGAGAAUGAGAUUAAUUAAAGAGUAAACUAGAGACCUUGACAUUUGAGUAUAAUCAUUUGUGUUAAAUGUUGUUAUUUAUUUGCUAGUAAACUUACUAAGCUUUAUGCUUACUUCUUUUAUUUCUCUUUCUCUUUUAGUAUUGCCAAGCUACUUCAAGGAUCCUAAAGAAGUCGGAGAUCGUCCACACUAUCAACCACAA